Molecule: ribosomal RNA, 440 nt
Filed under: uncultured bacterium
Lineage: Bacteria
Description: partial 16S ribosomal RNA
Rfam family: Bacterial small subunit ribosomal RNA
Source: RNAcentral
CCUACGGGAGGCUGCAGUAGGGAAUAUUGCUCAAUGGGGGAAACCCUGAAGCAGCAACGCCGCGUGGAGGAUGAAGGUUUUCGGAUUGUAAAAUCCUUUUGUUAGAGAAGAUAAUGACGGUACCUAACGAAUAAGCACCGGCUAACGCCGAGCCAGCAGCCGCGGUAAUACGGAGGGUGCAAGCGUUACUCGGAAUCACUGGGCGUAAAGAGCGCGUAGGCGGGAUAGCAAGUCAGAUGUGAAAACCUAUGGCUUAACCAUAGAACUGCAUUUGAAAAUGUUACUCUUGAGUAUAGGAGAGGUAGGUGGAAUUCGUGGUGUAGGGGUGAAAUGCGUAGAGAUCAAGAGGAAUACUCAUUGCGAAGGCGACCUGCCAGAACAUAACUGACGCUGAUGCGCGAAAGCGUGGGGAGCAAACAGGAUUAGAUACCCUAGUAGUC